AGUGAACGCUGGCGGUAGGCCUAACACAUGCAAGUCGAACGGCAGCACAGUAAGAGCUUGCUCUUACGGGUGGCGAGUGGCGGACGGGUGAGGAAUACAUCGGAAUCUACUUUUUCGUGGGGGAUAACGUAGGGAAACUUACGCUAAUACCGCAUACGACCUACGGGUGAAAGCAGGGGAUCUUCGGACCUUGCGCGAUUGGAUGAGCCGAUGUCGGAUUAGCUAGUUGGCGGGGUAAAGGCCCACCAAGGCGACGAUCCGUAGCUGGUCUGAGAGGAUGAUAGGCGACAUGGGAACGGAGACACGGUCCAGACGCCUAAGGGAGGCAGCAGUGGGGAAUAUUGGACAAUGGGGGCAAGCCUGAUCCAGCCAUACCGCGUGGGUGAAGAAGGCCUUCGGGUUGUAAAGCCCUUUUGUUGGGAAAGAAAAGCAGCAGGUUAAUACCCCGCUGUUCCGACGGUACCCAAAGAAUAAGCACCGGCUAACUUCGUG
This 492-nucleotide ribosomal RNA is filed under the name uncultured bacterium. Its description in RNAcentral is "partial 16S ribosomal RNA". It matches the Rfam family "Bacterial small subunit ribosomal RNA", at positions 29 to 507 of the family's 1533-position model. The record is from RNAcentral.